AGCCCUAAGCUGGUGGUAAACUCCAUCUAAGGCUAAAUAUGACCACGAGACCGAUAGCGAACAAGUACCGUGAGGGAAAGUUGAAAAGCACUUUGAAGAGAGAGUUCAAGAGUACGUGAAACCGUUUAGGGGUAAACCUGAGAAACCCGAAAGGUCGAAGGGAGAAAUUCAUUCGCGUUUCGCAGUCGGCGUGAGACGGUCGAGUGACGAAAAACGUUCGCGUUUUUCGCGCCUUCCGUUUUUCGAUCCGAUAGCGAACGCGUGCACUUUUCUCCUGGUAGGACGUCGCGAUCCGUUGGGUGUCGGUCUAAGGCUCGCGGUGGAGCCCGAAUGUGCUUCGCGCACGUUCGGACCCGCUUGUUCCCGGCCGACUCGCUCGACGGUAUACGAAAGGUUUAAGGCCGCUUCAUUAAGCGUUCGGCUCGUCGCAAGCGCGUCAGAUGAUGUCGGCGAUCGGACCUAGUGCCGGUUCUGACCUCUGGCGACUGUUGGCGGCGAAGUUCUCGAACAGACCUCAGACCGAUCUGCGACGCUAUAGCUUUGGGUACU
RNAcentral lists this ribosomal RNA (549 nucleotides) under Blosyrus sp. CNC COL VG00003321. RNAcentral describes it as "partial 28S ribosomal RNA". It matches the Rfam family "Eukaryotic large subunit ribosomal RNA", at positions 284 to 634 of the family's 3401-position model. Lineage: Eukaryota; Metazoa; Arthropoda; Insecta; Coleoptera; Curculionidae. The record is from RNAcentral.